RNAcentral lists this ribosomal RNA (305 nucleotides) under uncultured bacterium. Its description in RNAcentral is "bacterial SSU rRNA". It matches the Rfam family "Bacterial small subunit ribosomal RNA", at positions 338 to 660 of the family's 1533-position model. The record is from RNAcentral.
CCUACGGGGGGCAGCAGUCGGGAAUAUUGCGCAAUGGAGGAAACUCUGACGCAGUGACGCCGCGUAUAGGAAGAAGGUUUUCGGAUUGUAAACUAUUGUCGUGAGGGAAGAAGAUGACAGUACCUCAGGAGGAAGCUCCGGCUAACUAUGUGCCAGCAGCCGCGGUAAUACGUAGGGGGCAAGCGUUAUCCGGAUUUACUGGGUGUAAAGGGAGCGUAGACGGCGAUGCAAGUCUGAAGUGAAAGCCCGGGGCUCAACCCCGGGACUGCUUUGGAAACUGUAUGGCUGGAGUGCUGGAGAGGCAA